AACAAAAACAUUUUCUUUGGGUUAUAUCAAAGAUAAGGCCUGCUCAAUGAAUCUUAAAUGGCCGCAGUAUAAUGACUGUGCUAAGGUAGCAUAAUAAUUUGCCUUUUAAUUGGGGGCUGGGAUGAAAGGUUUUAUGGAAAAUAGCUGUUUUAAAAGAAAAAAUUGAACUUAAGUCCUUCAUAAAAACUUGAAGGGGUGCUCAAGGGACGAGAAGACCCCGUGGAUUUUUAUUUGCUAGAAAAUAAAUUUUAUAAUAUUUUAUUUUUUAACCAAAUUUGGUUGGGACGACAGUAAAAUUAACUUUAUUAUAAUGGUGAUUAGAUCCUUAUUGAGGAAUAAAGAACAAAUUACCCCGGGGAUAACAGAAUA
This 369-nucleotide ribosomal RNA is filed under the name Candona sp. 6 IK-2020. Its description in RNAcentral is "partial large subunit ribosomal RNA". It matches the Rfam family "Archaeal large subunit ribosomal RNA", at positions 1898 to 2553 of the family's 2987-position model. The record is from RNAcentral. Lineage: Eukaryota; Metazoa; Arthropoda; Ostracoda; Podocopida; Candonidae.